CCACUGAUCCAUCUUUCUCUUUGGAGUUUGGAUCUCCAUCGUUUCAGAAGCGCUCAAUUUCUCUGCUUUUUCAAAAGGUGAUGCUCUAUCUCUCUUACAAAGAAUUUUUCUAGGUUUAUACUUCUUCAUUUGAGGUGCUUCUUGGUUUCUCAGUUAUUUUUACUUUCUUCUUCUGCUAUCUUCCUUUCUUAUUCAAUAUUUUUCUGUUUUAAAGAGGACAUUUUCUUUGGGUUUACGUAGUUCCCUACUUUUUAAGGUACUUCUUCUUCUUCUUCUUUUUUGGGAUAAAACUUAAAUUUUUGGUCUAAUUUGGUAAAUGGAUCUUUUACGCUAAUAGUUGCUGCUGAGUGUUGGUAAAUGGGUGUGCAUGGGUUUUUCUUUUGGGUGAAUGCUCAGGUAAUUGUGAUUACAAUUUGGUGAAUAUUUGGUACUUUCCUCUUCUUUUGAUGAAGUAAUAGUAGAUUCCAUUACUUUCCUCUCUUUUGAAUAAUUUUCUUCUAGAAUUUUACAUGUAUGUCAGUAAUAGUAUGCUAUUUGCACAUGCAUUAUGUCUUUCUGGUGAAAUUUGUCUUUUCCCUGCACAUAUUCUUACUAAUUUUACCGAACAACAAAAAUUGAAUCUUUUUCGACGUGGAAAAUAGUACCUUGAAAAUUCAAAACAAACUUGAACAAUAGAGUCUCCAUGGCAGAAAUUCACCGAAUAGACGCAUCAAUAUUCUUUAAUUAUUUUUAUAACAAAGGAAAAAAGUAAGAAAUGGCAGUAAAGACAGACAAAAAGAAGACAAUUUGGCAGAAGUUGACUACACAAAAAUUUCAAUCUUACCUAUAUUCUGACAAGAAAAACAAAGAUUUUGGAAGUCGGCUAUGCACCUAUGGUAUUUGAUGGUUUGCCCGACUCAUCUUGGUUCUAAUUAUGGUGCUAUCCAUUUUGUCCUGAAAGUUUUAUUAUUCGGGACAAUAAUUUACCAAGUUGUUGUAUGCUUAUUCAUAAGAAUGAUUUGAUGCAGGAUACUAAAGCAUUUUAUAGUGGUGGUGAUCAAUCAUUAAAAAGUAGGAAGGAUGAUUAUACUGGUUAUGACAGUUUUUUAUUGCCUUAAUGUUUUAGAUUUACAGGUAAAAUAAUUGUCACUUUCUUUUAAGUUAUUCAAACAAGUUUUGCCUUAUAGAAUCAGUUGAUCAUCUUUGGUAGAUAUUUACAUCUUCUUGGCUUCGAAUUUCAUCUUUGUUUGGUAUAUGAGAACUUUUCUUCUGCAUAUGAAAUAUUAGUAUUUCACUGAUCUCCCUGUAGCCUUGGUAUGAUUGAGAAUAUGGUUGCAUUCUUGUGUUUACUAAGCAGGAAUUUUUGAUGUCUUUUUUUUAUAUAUUUGUUUGCCUAAAAUUAUUGGUUUGGUAAUGGCUAGAAAGGAAUGCAUCAUUUUCUUCAACUUUUGGUUAUGUGAUUUCUUCUCCUCUUUGUUAUCACAUAUGAAACUCAGUGUUGAUUUAUUAGUAGGGUGAAAACUUUUGUGUCUCUAUAACUGCAAUAUUAGCAAAGUCGCAUAUAUAAGUGAUUUUCUUACAUUUGUUAACUAUAGGAAGUAGAAUUUACAAUCUGAUGGUUACCUAGAUGCAGUAAAGUAUUAUUAUAACUUUAAACAUGAGACAUGGCUCUAGAGAUGAACACAAAAAGCAAUAUUUAUCUCGUUCUAAUCAUCAUAGAGUGAUUGAAUCUUAAUAGAAAUUUUUGGUUGAAAGGGAAACUAGGUGAUUGCUCAAAAGCUCUUCUUAGAAUAUGGUGCAGGUAAAACUGCAAAGAGUCAGUCUAAUUCUUAUUUAUGAGAAAAGUCAACAGAUGAUUAAAUUUUUGAAAGCCGAAAGUUAUCAGUAUGAGCCACAUGUGUUUAACAAUCCAAACUCCAAAGAGAAAGAUGGAUCGGUGGUGUAAAAAUAAGUAGGAGUCAUAAAAGGCAAGACACGUGUUAUACAUAGUACAAAUGUCUUUAUGAUAAUGAAAGGAGCAAAAUUACCAAUUUAUCCCUAGAAAUACUUGCAAUACAGCAGAUAGUACAACUUUUGUAGCUGUGUCGUACUCCUCCUUCUCAUUUAUAUAUAAUUGUAAUUACGUAUUUACCCUUGGUUGUCCAAAAACCUUCACUUAUUAAUAGGUUAAAAAGCAAUCUGUUCUUUGUUUUUAUUAGUAAUAUGAAGUGUUAAAAAUAAGACUAAAGAUUAAUGAGAAGAUAAAUGAAGGUAAAAAUGAGACGUUAUAGUGUAGAAUGAGGUAUCCUGCAUAAUUUCUUAAAGUAAUUGAAUGCUUGUGCAAAUGCAGAUUUUAAUGCGACUAGAGUAUUAUUCUACUGAAGGAGGAGUUAAUUACAGAACAGAAUUUUGCUUCGUAGUUAAAAUAUGCCAGUAGAAAAGAGUUGGUGCAGAUGAAGAAGUGAUUGGCCUUACUGCUUUCUUGUGGAAAUUGUUUAUUACUUUUCCAUGUUGCUAAAUAUGGUGUAUGCACAUUUUCAUAUUUCGUAUAGUUCUUGUGAAAGUUGUUUGCAUUAUUUUGUGGAAAAUUAAUAAACAUAAGUUCAUUGUGAAACUAAAUUGUGGUAUCUGAGGUGUUGACUUCUUUAUUACAUUUAAUUAAAAUUUCUUCUUAUAUGUUUUAGUUUUCAUAUUAAAUAGCCUUGAGGACCUAGCUACUUUUGCAUGUAGAAUUUAUAUUUUCUAAAAUUAUAACCUUCUCUUACAUCAUUCAUUAGCUUUGGUAUGAAAUGACCUUGAGGAAUGUUUAUGACCUGAUUUAAUUUAGUUCUUCUGAUUUUACAUAUAGAAGUCAUAUAGUGCUUUAGAAAAUUGAAGGUUUUAAAGGAUUUAUCUUUGUUUUAAUUUCUUGCAGCCUGAAGACCAUAACUCUAGGGGAUAAAAGGAUUAGGAAUGAAACAAGUGUCCUUCAGGAGGAUGAGACGAGACAAUUUUUAAUAUGCUUCGCAUUGCUGCAAAGCUGAUGACUUGAAUAAGGCUUAUACCAUGAAUCAACCAGGUUGGUGUUUUAAUUUUUUUCAUAUUUCAUAUAUGCUAUUAAUUUUAUCUUUAUCCUUGAUGUUGAGUUGAACAAGUUAUGUUAAUGCUUGAAGCAGGUUGCUCAGACAUUAGUUCCAUUUUUGAAGGUAUGUUUCCAUGACGAGUUAGGGAAGUUGGGGUUUCACAUGUAUAUCUAUUGAAUCUAUUUCAUUUUUCUUUGAUUUUUUAUUUUUCUAUAAUUUUUCCACUAUGAAUGUGAUAUAGCGGUUUAAAAUCGUGCCUGAGCUGUUACAUAUGCCAAACUGAAUGCAAGAGGAGGACUUGUGCAUAGCAAACAUGAAACUUACAUCAAGCAGUUUGGGCAGCUCGAUAGGAAUCAGAGGAGUACAACUCCUCCCGACUCAACUUGAACAUUCAAUCAAGUUAAUUCAACUAUGUUACUGAAUCUAAAGUGAUGACUCUAUAUUAAAGAACCUUGAUGUUGUCACGUGUUUCAAUAACAAGAUGAAUAACCCCCUUAUUUCUAGGGAAGUGAAGCCAAAUAGAACCUGACAAAAUGUAGUUGAAGCAAGUUUGCUAAGAUUAUUACUUUACCCCCGCUACUUAAAAAUUUUGUUGGGGAAGUUAAAGACUAAAUAUGUGCAGAACUCAAAGGUUUAGUUAAAAAAUUUAAAAUGGUGGUUGAACUUGAUUUUAUUUUUGGAUAAGGCACUGGUGAACUUGAUUACUCGAAAUAAAGGAUACUUACAGUGCUCUACUUGAAACGCAAGGUCUAAUGCUACUGGAAAAAAAAAAGAUAGAAGAGGACUUUAAGUUUUCACCAUAUGAGUCUUGUGCAUUCACUAUGAUUUUAGGUGUUCAUGACUUAUAUAGUGACAUGUCCUUCUAUUUAAUGAUGGGAGAGAAAUUUACUUCACACAAAAGAAGUAUACCGUUUAGUAUUUACUGAUAUCUAAAUCCUUAAUGUAUGUGUGUUUCAUCACAUACCAUCAUCUGCUUAUGUAACAUUUUGUGAUGAAUUGUCAAUUUACUUACAUAUCAGGAUAGAAUAUAUUCUUUUAAUGUCAGUGCGACCAACAAAGAAGUCAGACAUUCAGUUUCGCCAUUAUCACUUGAAGAUGCAGACAUGCAGCAGAACCGUAAGUGAGUACUUACAAAGUCCAAGGAGCAAUACACAAUUGCAUCUGGUGAAAAAAUAACUAAAUAACUAAUUAGUGCAUCAAAUGAUUCUUAAGUAUUGAUGCGAAUGCGAUUGCAAGGCCUUUUUGAUGAUGUCAAGUCCUGGAAAUAUCCUUGCAUCAGCAUGAGUUGUGGGCGGUCUUGGAAAUGCCAGACUCUUUGUUCUUUGUUCUAUACUACAGUAUUGUUGCUCAUUAGGUUCUUAAGAAUCUUAUAAGUUAUGGUGUUCAUCCUAACUGGUGAAAUCUGAGUCGUGUACAAAUAGUAAUUUAUUGUACAAUUUUAGCAAGUGUAUAAGGUAAUACCUAUACUAUAUCGUCGCCCGUGCUAUGCACGGGCAUUCGUUUCUAGUCUAUUCAAUUAUUGUAACGACCCGGAUGGUCGUUUUGCACAAUUGCGUCCAAUUCGGCCGUUUAAGGUCUUGAGUAGU
RNAcentral lists this long non-coding RNA (4606 nucleotides) under Nicotiana tabacum (common tobacco). RNAcentral's name for it is "long non-coding RNA (NTAB_LNC014308)". Lineage: Eukaryota; Viridiplantae; Streptophyta; Magnoliopsida; Solanales; Solanaceae. The record is from RNAcentral.